This 99-nucleotide non-coding RNA is filed under the name Aeromonas sp. RNAcentral describes it as "Glycine sequence". It matches the Rfam family "Glycine riboswitch aptamer". Rfam says of the family: This family represents the bacterial glycine riboswitch. Glycine riboswitches usually consist of two metabolite-binding aptamers domains with similar structures in tandem. Lineage: Bacteria; Pseudomonadati; Pseudomonadota; Gammaproteobacteria; Aeromonadales; Aeromonadaceae. The record is from RNAcentral.
GGACGAUACUCUGGAGAGACCCGUUAAAUCGGGCGCCGAAGGAGCAAGGUUCCCCCGAGGGAGCCGGAAACUCUCAGGCAAAAGGACAGAGGGGAUAGG